This 245-nucleotide ribosomal RNA is filed under the name uncultured Pseudomonas sp. RNAcentral describes it as "partial 16S ribosomal RNA". It matches the Rfam family "Bacterial small subunit ribosomal RNA", at positions 1138 to 1382 of the family's 1533-position model. The record is from RNAcentral. Lineage: Bacteria; Pseudomonadati; Pseudomonadota; Gammaproteobacteria; Pseudomonadales; Pseudomonadaceae.
CUACUAGGAGACUGCCGGUGACAAACCGGAGGAAGGUGGGGAUGACGUCAAGUCAUCAUGGCCCUUACGGCCUGGGCUACACACGUGCUACAAUGGUCGGUACAAAGGGUUGCCAAGCCGCGAGGUGGAGCUAAUCCCAUAAAACCGAUCGUAGUCCGGAUCGCAGUCUGCAACUCGACUGCGUGAAGUCGGAAUCGCUAGUAAUCGUGAAUCAGAAUGUCACGGUGAAUACGUUCCCGGGCCUU